RNAcentral lists this ribosomal RNA (253 nucleotides) under uncultured bacterium. RNAcentral's name for it is "partial 16S ribosomal RNA". It matches the Rfam family "Bacterial small subunit ribosomal RNA", at positions 524 to 776 of the family's 1533-position model. The record is from RNAcentral.
UACAGAGGGGGCAAGCGUGAUUCGGAAUUAUUGGGCGUAAAGGGCGCGUAGGCGGCUUUUCAAGUGACGGGUGAAAUCCCUCGGCUUAACCGAGGAACUGCCUGUCAGACUGGAAGGCUUGAGACCGGGAGAGGUGAGUGGAAUUCCCAGUGUAGCGGUGAAAUGCGUAGAUAUUGGGAGGAACACCAGUGGCGAAGGCGGCUCACUGGACCGGAACUGACGCUGAGGCGCGAAAGCGUGGGGAGCAAACAGG